GCCCUUGUAGCUCAGCUGGUAGAGCAACUGAUUUGUAAUCAGUAGGUCGCGGGUUCGAAUCCUGUCGGGGGCU
Molecule: transfer RNA, 73 nt
Filed under: Propioniferax innocua
Lineage: Bacteria; Bacillati; Actinomycetota; Actinomycetes; Propionibacteriales; Propionibacteriaceae
Rfam family: tRNA
About the family: Transfer RNA (tRNA) molecules are approximately 80 nucleotides in length. Their secondary structure includes four short double-helical elements and three loops (D, anti-codon, and T loops).
Source: Rfam by way of RNAcentral